CCUUUGAUAGCUCAGUGGAAGAGCAAGGACUGUAAAUCCUGAUGGCGCUGGUUUGAAUACAGUUCGAAGGU
This 71-nucleotide transfer RNA is filed under the name Xenopus tropicalis (tropical clawed frog). RNAcentral's name for it is "Xenopus (Silurana) tropicalis (western clawed frog) tRNA". It matches the Rfam family "tRNA". Rfam says of the family: Transfer RNA (tRNA) molecules are approximately 80 nucleotides in length. Their secondary structure includes four short double-helical elements and three loops (D, anti-codon, and T loops). Lineage: Eukaryota; Metazoa; Chordata; Amphibia; Anura; Pipidae. The record is from Rfam by way of RNAcentral.